GGGGAAUAUUGCGCAAUGGGGGGGACCCUGACGCAGCAACGCCGCGUGGAGGAAGAAGGCCUUCGGGUUGUAAACUCCUGUCUUUAGGGACGAUAAUGACGGUACCUAAGGAGGAAGCCACGGCUAACUACGUGCCAGCAGCCGCGGUAAUACGUAGGUGGCGAGCGUUGUCCGGAAUUACUGGGCGUAAAGGGUGCGUAGGCGGAUACUUAAGUCAGAUGUGAAACUCCGGGGCUUAACUUCGGGACUGCAUUUGAAACUGGGUAUCUAGAGUGCAGGAGAGGGAAGCGGAAUUCCUAGUGUAGCGGUGAAAUGCGUAGAUAUUAGGAAGAACACCAGUGGCGAAGGCGGCUUUCUGGACUGUAACUGACGCUGAGGCACGAAAGCGUGGGGAGCGAAC
This 400-nucleotide ribosomal RNA is filed under the name uncultured bacterium. RNAcentral's name for it is "bacterial SSU rRNA". It matches the Rfam family "Bacterial small subunit ribosomal RNA", at positions 356 to 773 of the family's 1533-position model. The record is from RNAcentral.